RNAcentral lists this long non-coding RNA (1383 nucleotides) under Vulpes vulpes (red fox). RNAcentral's name for it is "lncRNA (ENSVVUG00000025488.1)". The record is from RNAcentral. Lineage: Eukaryota; Metazoa; Chordata; Mammalia; Carnivora; Canidae.
AUUAAAAAAGAAAAAACAGGACUGGUUGAAAGAUUGUCCAGGAGCGCGGCACCCUCAGCUCUCUUCUUCCGGCACACAUUGGUUGUUCUGCACCCUGGAUGAACCCGUCUGUCCUGGAGGAAAGCAGGGUCCUGGACCUUCAGCACGGGGCCCAGGAGAAGGACAACAUGAGGCAGAGUGAACAUUGUGUGCACAGGAAGGAAGCCCUUAUUGUUGUAAGCAUCUACAGUUCUAGGAAUUGUUACCCGAGCAUUGCACAGCAAAAGGUGACUGCUGCCUCCCCAGUGACAGUUGCAGCCAGGAUUGGCAGGAAGGGCAUUCUGUCUGCUGCAUGGGAUGAGCACUCCUGGCGCCUCGGAGACAAAGGUCUGGACUAUCCCUGAAGAGGCACCUUUGACCCAGACACAGCCACCUUCAUGGAGCUCACCAGCUGGCAGCAUGAAUAAGCACCUCCCUCUUUUGGACUGUGGGCUGCAGAUGGCUCAAAGAGGCUAGAGUGGGAGGACAUAAGUUAGGGCAUCUCCCUUGAGGAAUCCUGGCCAUAUUCCAGGAAUUUGCAAGGCCUGGAGGUCCCGGGCAGGAAGGUAGGAACAAUGAAUGACCUGGUAAAAACUGGGUCUUUAAUUGUGCCAAUUAUUAAGCUUUUUCUCUCUCAGGGCUCUGAGUUUCAUUGCUUCUUUGCCACAUGGCUGUCAGGCACUGCCAAUAGGAGACUGCAAGGCUCUAGGAAAAACUGGAAUUCUCUUCCUGUUUGCUGUCCCUGGCAGCAUUGCAUGGGCACACACCCCUCACUCUGGUGGCCGCAGUUGGUUUCUGUCCUUUCCAUGUUCCCAGGAGCAGCCUUUUGUACCCAGCCAGGAGGAUAGCACAGGCAGACAAGGACCUCUGCUCAGGGCUCUGAGCCCCUAAUCCAUGGGUCCCUCCUGCAAGUCUCUAUUCUGAUAACCCACCCUCCCUGUCCUGUUUCCAUCACCGAACCCCACCUGGUACAGGAAUGCAAAGUCCACCUUUAGCUUCCGGGGGUAGAGGCUGGGUCACGCUACCUGAGAUAACCACCCAAGGUUUAGGGAGUCUUUGGUCCUAAACCUUGUGAGCCAGAGGACUGGUCCAAGUAGUUGCUGAGCAUUAUUGUAUGCCCCAGAUUAUACCAGAUGUUGUACAAGAUACGAGACACUUAAACUACAGUCCUGAUUGCCAAAAAGUUCGGCUGGAAAGAAGGGCUAAGUCCACAUUCACAUCCGGAGAAGGAACAGUUUGUGAAUGCCAGAAUGGUCAAAAAGGUCACCAAGGAUUCUUUCUUUGAAGGCUAAUCAGGCUUAAACCAGCAACUCCAGGCAUCUUCAAGAUAGACAGAAGUGCCAAGUAGAAUCUACUUGAUAUCCU